Molecule: long non-coding RNA, 2356 nt
Organism: Cicer arietinum (chickpea)
Lineage: Eukaryota; Viridiplantae; Streptophyta; Magnoliopsida; Fabales; Fabaceae
Source: RefSeq, a predicted model, not a curated record
UCAACUUUCUUUCGCGGAUGAGUCCAAAAUCUCGCGCGUAAAAUUCCUUUCUAUCUUUCUCUCUCUGCAGACGUUGUGAACCAUCGCCGCCAUUAUUUUUCUUCUGUUGUCGCUAUAAGAGUUCCUCCACCAUGGUAGAUGAUUCUUCUUUCUCCACUGUUGUAUAUAUUCACUUUUGGUGGCCUCACAAAAACCCUAGUAUUGGGAUUUUGCUUUGCAAUUUUGCUUUGUGAAUGGGUUUCAUUGCUUCACAUAGGGUUAAACCUACCCAUCCCAUUCCUUCUUUUAUUUCGGUUGUAUUUCAUUAAAUUACCUUAGUCAUUGGAAGAUGUAGCGGCAAUAGACUCCUUGAAGUUCUAAGUUGGUGAUUUGAAACAACAAAAUAAGAAAAUUUCAAGCUUGGACCUUGGUGCUGAGAUAUUGCAAGCAAGUGGUGGUUUAAGAAACUUGCAAUCCAUUGCACUAGGAUUGAUUUUGCUGAGCUGAUUUUGCUUACCCCUCCUUGACCAAUCCUUAUGAAUACUAUUGCUAGGAGAAGGCUUAGAUUUUGAAACGUGUCAUUUAUUAGGAAAGUGUUCCUCAAUGAUUGAGCUUACUUUCAUGACAUCAUCAUCAAUUACAGAAACUGAAUAAAACACGGGAGCAAAGAUAGUUCAAAUUCAAUCUCUUGAAGUGGAUGUUGACAAUAGUAUACAUCAAAAUAGCAAAAUAGAAGUGGAGGGUUUGUUGUGUAUAUCUGAAUUAGUUGUUUUAUUAGGUGGUUUUGGAAGUAUAGGUAAUCUUUGUAAUGGAGCUAUACUAAUAUUAGCCUCAUUAGAAGGACUUGUGCUUGAAGCUGUUCCUGAAGAACAUGCAGCUGGUUGGUUUUGGUGUUUCCCUUGGAUAAUGCAUGCAUCUUGAUGUUCUAUGAAACUUUCCACCUUGAUCAAAGGAUAAAUGUUUAGGAUAUUAUACUAGAUUAUAUGAUUAGAUCAUUAUGAUUAUAUAUAUGUAAAUGCAUGUUAAGGCUUCAUCUUAAAAAAAUGAAUUGGUCAAGCAAAGAUAUGUUUUUUUUUUAAUGUCAAUGACUUAUUGAGAAAUUAAAGUAGUGAUUAAUAAAACAAGACAAAGUGAUCAAAUCUAAUAGGGUCUCCACUAGCUAGUACACAAAAGAUAAAUUAAUUUAAGUUUUUCCUCUUGUAUAUGGUUUCGUUGGAACUUGCUUGAUUAAUUUAUUAUAUUGUUUGCUAAGCCUGCAAAAUGAAGGGACUGUGUGUAUGUAUUUAUUCAAACAAAUAGUGUUGUGCAUCUCGCAUCUCUUAGAAGUGUGGCUAAUAUAUUAUUAUACAGCUCACAAUGAAUUAUUCAUAUAUAUCUUUGGAAUUCUGACCCAAUAUUUUUUAUUUUUUUUUUUAUUUUUCAUGUUUCUAACUUUUGUCAAAAAUCAAUUGAAUUGUAUCAAACUAGUCCUACCUCACCCUCAUCCCUCAUUGUUCAGGUUCUCUCCUUAAUUCCCGAUUUAUUGAAGGAUAAGCUCACUUCCUUGUGUAACUUGAAAUCACUUAAAGUACAAUUAAAACCACUUUCAUAUGGAUUAUCCAUGACACUGAGAACUGCCAAGUUUCAAAAAGAAUUUAAAGCAGGAUCAGAACCAUUUCACCCACACCCAAUGGCAUAGUGGACUUUUUGAUUCAAAACUCACCGUCGGCAGAAGUCGACAUCAUAGAUUGCUCAAGCCAGAAUAUGUACAAUUAGUUGUUUGGUGCAAGUAUUCAAAUGUUUUCCUUUUAGUCAUAUUUGAUGGCUCCAAACCGUGCAUAUUAAAAUCUUAAGGUUGCCAAUGAAGUUUGGAAAUCAUAGAGACUUUUCUUUUGUGGAGUAUGUUACUCAGCAGGAGGCAAAAAAUGCUCUUACAACACUUUCGAGCACCCAUUUAUAUGGCAGAUAUUUGGUGAUAGAGAGAGCGGAAAAAGGUGGUGUUUGGACGAACUGCGGGCUCGAAUUACUGCUCAAUUUAAUCAACAUACGUGAUUUCAAGAUGCUACUAAUUGCUCCAAGAAAAGGAAUGCCAUCAAUAUCUUAGAUGAAGGGAAAAUGAAGUUUGAAAGGUUUGGUGUUUAGUGCUCUGCUAAAGAUUUUAACGUUUGUGUAUUUGUUCCAAAGUUCAAGGAUAACAAUUUUGUAUGUUGUAGUAAGUUGUUUAAUUUAUUCUUGCUUGGUGUCCUUACAUUUAUUACUAUCUAUUUAAUUCCAUGUUCAAAAGAUGUAGCAAAAGGAUGAUAUGAUCAUAGUUAUUUUGGGAUCGGCUUACUGGAUGCUUAAAAUCACAAUUGUAUGGAUAUGAUCAUGGUCAUAACUAUUUUGAGACUUUUUUUAA